UUCGUAAACAUCAUCUGGUAAAACAAACAUCCCUCCGCGGCAAAAAUUUGUAAAUUUUACUGCAUUUCAUUAAAAAUUAAUUUUUAAUUAACAAAAAUCCGGCGUGUGCGAAAAAAAGUUAUAGAAAAGCAUAAAAUAAAGUGAAUGGCGAUUUUAUUAAAUUCACAAUAACUUAAAUACGAGUUUCUCUUUAGCUAAAAUAUAAAUCGUUUGAUGGAAAUACAUAAGAAAAAGUGACAUACAUAAAUUAUUUUAUAAUAGUCAGAAAAACAAGCGCAAUCAAGAACACCAUUUUCGAAUUGCUAAAACAGGCAUUUAAAACUUCUUAUAACAAGUGCAUAGUAAAGUUAAUAUAGCCACCAUAAACAUAAUACAGCAACAAAAUGUGGCAACCAACACCGUCAUCGUCAAGUGAUAAUAAGAAUAAUACCAACGAAGUGGUAGAAGUAGAUGAUUGUAAAUGUGAUAGUAGUGGUAUUACUGAACAACAGCAACAAUUAACAUUAGACCAACAGCAGCUACAACAAAAGCAAGCUCGAAAAAAUAACAGUAAACAUCAGCAACAAACGUCAACAUUUGGCGGCGGUCAAUUGACAGAAGGUAUCACCACAAAUAUCCAACAAUAUAAACAACAACAGGGAGAUAUACCAUCGACUAUUGGAUCAUCCGAAGAUUUAGGAGGUGAGGACAAUAAGAAAUAUUUGGAAUUCGCCGCAACGGAAGAAGCCACAGAUUCGGGCUUCAUUUCGGGACCCCAAACAUCCUCAUCCCUAAAUAUCAUUGGUGGCGUUGAGGACAACGCUAGUGAAGAAGGCGGCGCUGUCGGCGGAAGUGGUGGUGGAGAAGAAUUGAACAAAUUCAAUAUCAACGAUCAUCACAAAUUACAGCAGCAACAACAACAGUACGAAAUAUCCAAUUUAGAUUCGGGCUGCAUUGACGAAGUUGAAGACGAGGAGAGCUAUAGCGCGAAGCAACAACACUCUUCUGCGACUGAAACAACAAACGAACAACAAAUGCUACUCAAAAACAAUGUCGAUGCUGGCAUGUCAGAAUGGUUUUGCAAUCUCAGUUUGCAAAACAGUCCCACUACCAGCUCUACAAAUACCACAUCUGCCCCACAUCAACAACAACGUACAAAUAAUCAAAAUCAAUACAUGGUUGCGGGAACGGGUCUCAACAACUUAGAUGCACCCAAGACGCGAUCCAACAAUCAAAAACCUCCCACCUCACCAUCCACCACAUCAUUACCCACCGUUUAUCAACAACAAAAUGCAGCAGCUGGAUCAUCUGCUACAACACCAACCGCCGCCACCGCAACCAUUUGCAAUGUACCAUCGCAUAUAACACCAACCAAUGCUUGGGAGUAUUACUAUCAACAAAACGAUGAUGGCGAUACACCAUUACAUUUGGCUUGCAUUUCGGGUUAUGUGGAUGUAGUAGCUGCCCUUAUACGCAUGGCCCCUCAUCCCUGCUUGUUUAAUAUACAAAAUGAUGAAGCUCAAACGCCAUUACAUUUGGCAACAUUAACAGCACAACCAAAAAUUAUACGUAUGCUAUUAAUAGCAGGAGCCGAGCCAACUGUACGUGAUCGUCAUGGCAAUACAGCUUUACAUCUUGCCUGUAUGUCGGGUGAAGAACAAUGUGUAAGAGCUUUAACCAUGUCGAUUGGUGCCUCCGAAGUAAAUGAAGCCCACCGACAAUAUGGUCAUCGUGCGAAUGACAAAUCCUAUCUCAAAUAUGCCCAUUUACCUUCAGACUUGGAAAUACGUAAUUAUGAUGGUGAAAGAUGUGUUCAUUUAGCUGCCCAAGCCGGUUAUAUUGACAUUUUGCGCAUUCUGGUUUUAUAUGGAGCAGACAUCAAUGCCAGGGAAGGGAAAUCCGGACGUACUCCUUUACACAUUGCGAUUGAAUGCUGUAACGAGGAUCUGGCAAAUUUCCUUUUAGAUGAGUGCCAAAAAUUGAAUUUAGAAACCGCGACAUAUGCUGGCCUAACAGCCUACCAAGUAGCAUGUGUACUUAACAAAUCAGAAAUGCAGGAUAUCUUGGAGAAACGUGGUGCUGAACCUCUAACACCACCUGACAGUGAUUACGACAGUAGCGACAUAGAAACAGAUCUUGACGAUUCAAAGGUGAGCUUGUAGAAAAGUUUGAAAUAAUAUAAAAAAAAUUCAGCAUCCUCCCUCGUAAGCUUACUGAACUGGCAUUCAGAUAUUGGAAAAUCAAGUAUAAGAUAGCAUAGUAUAUAAUAUGCAUAUAAAGAACUUUCAAAAUCAUAUGUAUUGUCAACCAAAAAUUCAAAGAAACAAUAACAAAAAAAAACAAAAGUCCAAGUAAUAGUUAAAAAAUCCUUUAAAGGAUAGCAACAACAAAAAUGCUCACAAUGUUUUUAGUUUUAUUAAAAUAAAAAAAUAUAAUAUCAUUGUAUGCAUGUUUGUAGAAGGGUAUGAUAGUGGAUCUUCUUUCAACUCUACAGUUCUAUGUUUUAGUAGAGCUUACAAAAGCCCCUUCAAAGGAAUAUACUUCCCUUAAUUAUAAAUAAUUUUUUUUAAGAAUUAUAGCCAAAUUCAUAAAAAUGAUACCGAAUAAUCUGUUAUUCUUGUCUGUUUUUAGAACUCAAAAUGAAUCCGCAUAAUAUAAUUUUAACUACAAAUAAAUACUUUAAAUUUUUUAAGUUGGGCCAGCUUGGCCAUUGAAAUAAAUUUGUAAUUUUCCUGGUAUUAUUGUAGACCACCAGAAUCGUUGGCAAAAGAAAUGAAAUUACAAAAAGAUUUGGCCUUUCAAAAAAUUACUAGUUAGUAGUUGUAUAUGUCUUCUGUAUUGUAUGUGUAUGUGUGUAUGAAUGUAUGUUAAUCAUUGUCUAUUAUUUCCACUCCAGUUUUUGAAGGAGGCCACCGUAGGGCAGAUGCUAGCAUGUCCGCCUAUCACGCUGAAUGCGCUGAAUUUUCCAUUAAGGAACAGGGGCAAGCUUGUCACAUAUCAAUGCGUGUUGUCCGAUUUAAGUUUAAGCUCGAUGAUAAGGGGCCUUCUUUUUAAAGCUGAGUCCGAACGGCAUGUUGCAGUGCGAUACCUUUUUUGGGUAGAAGUUUUUACAAGACAUUGUAUCGCACAAAUCUUGCCAGUAUUCUCGCCAGAAUUUCAACCCAGGCUUACAGCGCCAUAGCCGGACAUGCUAACCUCUACGCCACGUCAUUUAUUGUUCCAUUUGAUUUCUUAAACUUUUGGGUUUUUGAUGCAAUCCUACUCUCUACUCAAUGAGUGCCUUAAAAAAUAAACUAUUUGAAUUGGAAAACUUUAUAAUCCAUUCAAAAACUGGUACUUUUUUAAACGAAAUAUCAACAAAACAAUUUGAUUUAUUCUUUACAAUAGCCGCUAGAACUUUUCAACCACUUAAAAUGGGCUAUGGUUAUUAUUACAAAAAUGUCAAGCUAAGAAUAUGCAAAUCUUUAUUUCGUUUUCUUAUACCAUAGUAUUUAGGACAAACCCCCAUUAUAUUCACAUCAUUAAUGUUAUACUUAUUUAAUUAUUAACCUAUUGUUUUGGAAAAGUGUGUGUGUUUGUGUAUUUUAAUUAUUUUAUCGUUGACUUAGGUGUCUCUACAAUACUAACAACAAACAAAAAGAAGAAAAAAUCCUAGUUUUAAAAGUAACAUAACGUAACUCAGAGAUGUACAAAAUAAAAAAAGAGAUUUAGGGUGUGUGAAAUCCUCUCUUUAAGUUUUAUAAAUUCUCUCUCUCUCUCUCUUCUCUUUAUGAGCAAAAAAUGUAAUAUAUUUCAAUCACAGACAAUAGAUUCUUAUAGAUAACAUUUCCCUCUCUCAAAAAAUGGCAACCACGCAGAGCUGCCUAAUUUAUUUGGUGGAAUCAGCACAUCGGAGAAAAAAAAUCGGCAUUUUCGGGUCUUUUGUUUAAGCUACAAAACACAUAGUUUUAUAAAAAAACAUUUACAUUUAUUCAGGAACUUUAAGUUUCAGUUGGGGUAACGUAAGACUAAUUUUCUUACAUUUUAAAUCAGUCUUUUUAUUUGAUUAGAUUACAAACUCAUUCAUAGUGCAAAACAAGCAAUAUUUCGGAAGAUCAACAUAAACAUAUGUUGAAAUAUGUUAGAUUUUAACACAUAUUCGAUUUGUACUAACUCAGUGCUUAUUUGUACAUCAAAACAAUUAGAGUUAUUACAUUUUAAAAAAUCUUUUGUAUAAAGAAUUCCUUCCAGAGAUUUGUUGUCCAGAGAGGAUCUUAUAUUUGUUUUGUUUAAAUUAACUUGACUAAAAAUUCGCUCUACUUUUGCUGUGGAAUGAGGAAAAAUCAUUGCUGAUUGGACAAAUUUACACAAUGUUGAAAAAUCUGGUUUUGUAUUUCCACGCUUAAUUUCCGAAAUUUUCUUCCAAAAGCUUUUUAAAUUUAUUUCGCAAUCUUUUAACAUUUCUUUAAUAUGUGUGAAAUUUUACUCUCUGAACACUGAAUCUAAUAAUUGUUUCUCGUCUUGACUUAAAGAGUGUGGGAAUUUUUUCAAUAUAUCGACAGUAGUGAUAAUUUUUUCUCAAACAUUUAACUUAAGGAUCAAUCAGUUUUAAAGACUUGAACGACAUGUUAUUAAAAUCAAAACGCUGCAAUAAUUGAUUUGGAAAUUCUGUAUAAAAAUGGAUGCAAGAGUUUAUAAUACUAUUUAAUUCAAAUUUAUGAAGCGUUUUUCCGCAAUAAUCUAUUUGGCGUAUAAGCCUAGAUAAAUUUCAAUGAAUUACAAAUAGUUGUUUGUGUCCAUAAAAUCUGUUAAGUAAAUCUCAUCAUUCAGAGCGUUUUGGUUAAUAAAAUUGCUUAAUACCGUCUAAUACCGUCCGCGAUUGCAGCUAUUGAAUGGCUUUAGCUGUUGCAUAGAUUGAGUAUUGCAAUCAUGGCAUGACUUCCAGAAUUUGCAUAGAUCGACACUGCAAGUUUUGAGCGACUUUAGCUUUUGCAUAGGUUGCAAUCAUAUCAUGACGUCUAGAAUUUGCAAAGCUUGGAGCAAAAAAUCGGCAAAGUGCCGAUAAAUCGGCAAGUCUGGCAGCCCUGCAACCACCAUCAACAAUUAGAAAUCUGACAAAAAGAAGCUAACAAAAAAAUUAAAGUUGUUUUGUAAAAAUAAUUUAAAGUUUAAAAGUACAAAAAAAAAAAUUAAAAAUCGAUUGAAAACAAGUUACAUCAUAUUCAUUAUUCAUACACAGUUCUCUAGAAAUUCUCUCUUCUCUUAAUUUUCUUCGUUUAUGUCUAAUCUUUGCACUUGGUGCCUCUUUAAAAAGUCGAUUGUCUAUCUACUUUUCAUUCACUUGUGAUUUCAAUGGACAAUUGAUGUUUUUAAUAUGAGAAUGUUGCGCAUAUCUUUAGAGCCCCCCACUCAUGUUGAGUGAAACCUGCGAAUGAUGGGACUUUGGGAUUGCAAGCCAUGCUUUUUAUACAAGAAAGCAAGCAAGCGUCCAUGAGGGGGUGGCUUUUCACAUGCGUCCUUUCGCUGCUUUCUCAGUAACAAUUGAAUCCAAGAGAAUAAGAGUACAGAGAAUUUUAAUUUUGUGCAGCUCUGAGUUAAACACAAUACAAUUUUGUUCAAAUACCAUACCAGAGGAUUGUUUCGAUUUAAUAUUUAAAAAAUAAUUAUUUUUAUCAUAAUAACAUAUGACUGAACUGUAUUAUACAAAGAAAAAGAAAAAAGGAAAACAAUAACAAAAACACAACAACCAAAAAAAUAAUAAAUAAAAUAGUUUUUAUUGAAACCUA
Stomoxys calcitrans (stable fly) is the source of this 5744-nucleotide RNA transcript. It is a transcript of the gene named NF-kappa-B inhibitor cactus, with no coding region annotated. Lineage: Eukaryota; Metazoa; Arthropoda; Insecta; Diptera; Muscidae. The transcript has 7 exons. The record is from RefSeq and is a predicted model, not a curated record.